This is a non-coding RNA of Podarcis lilfordi (Lilford's wall lizard), 74 nucleotides long. NCBI's taxonomy places the organism in Eukaryota, Metazoa, Chordata, Lepidosauria, Squamata, Lacertidae. The record is from the annotation of a GenBank genome assembly.
ACCUGCAGUAGGGAUAGGGUAGUUGGUAGAGCCCAAGAAUCUCAGGGUUGUGGGUUCAAGCCCCACUCUGGGCA